This 29-nucleotide non-coding RNA is filed under the name Mus musculus (house mouse). The record is from RNAcentral. Lineage: Eukaryota; Metazoa; Chordata; Mammalia; Rodentia; Muridae.
UGAAAAGUGCAGUCAGUGAUUGUGACAGA